Molecule: non-coding RNA, 48 nt
Organism: Schistosoma rodhaini
Lineage: Eukaryota; Metazoa; Platyhelminthes; Trematoda; Strigeidida; Schistosomatidae
Source: Rfam
AUCCAGCUGACGAGUCCCAAAUAGGACGAAACGUGCGUCAAGCUGGAU